RNAcentral lists this ribosomal RNA (509 nucleotides) under uncultured bacterium. Its description in RNAcentral is "bacterial SSU rRNA". It matches the Rfam family "Bacterial small subunit ribosomal RNA", at positions 19 to 518 of the family's 1533-position model. The record is from RNAcentral.
AUGGCUCAGGAUGAACGCUAGCGACAGGCUAACACAUGCAAGUCGAGGGGCAGCACGGGAGUAGCAAUACAACUGGUGGCGACCGGCGCACGGGUGAGUAACGCGUAUGCAACCUACCUAUCAGAGGGGAAUAACCCGGCGAAAGUCGGACUAAUACCGCAUAAAACAGGGGGCACCGCAUGGUGAUAUUUGUUAAAGAGAUUCGCUGAUAGAUGGGCAUGCGUUCCAUUAGGUAGUUGGUGAGGUAACGGCUCACCAAGCCGACGAUGGAUAGGGGAACUGAGAGGUUGGUCCCCCACACUGGUACUGAGACACGGACCAGACUCCUACGGGAGGCAGCAGUGAGGAAUAUUGGUCAAUGGGCGGGAGCCUGAACCAGCCAAGUCGCGUGAAGGAAAGAAGGAUCUAUGGUUCGUAAACUUCUUUUGCAGGGGAAUAAAGUGCAGGACGUGUCCUGUUUUGUAUGUACCCUGAGAAUAAGGAUCGGCUAACUCCGUGCCAGCAGCAGC